UUUUUUUAAAAGAAAAAAGUUAUUACCAUAACAUAAACAAUGAGAGAAUUUUGGCUUAUUUUCUCCAAGCAUUUUUUAAUGUACAUAUUUGCUUCCUACAUAGUAUGACACAUUGAACAUAUGGCUUUAGCACUAUUCUCAUUUGACUUGAAAAUGUCUUUAGAGCAAUCAUUUUUGUUGAUAGUAUAUCAAGUGGAUGUGCUGUUACUGACUUAACUAUUCCCUUACUUUCAUGUAUUUACAUUGUCACGAUUUGUUUUUUGUUUUGUUUUGUUUUGUUUUUGUAAUUACAAAUAAUGCUUCAAGGAACAAAUUUGUUCAUAACAGUGUUUCUAAUAUUUCAGGCCACUUUACAGAAGUAGGAUUAUGGGGUCAGAAUAUGUCCAUUCUCAUAGCACUCAACACAUACUGCCAAAUUGCUUUGUGAAAGAGCUUUAACAAUUUAUGUUGCAACCAGCAAGAGAUGCUAGUUUUACGGCUUUGACAUUAUACAUUUUUUAGUGCAAGAUUAAAUAUAUGAAGAUGUGUCAGAAGUAGGCCAGGACUAGCAGAAGCACAACCUCAAUUUUAACUCUUGUUGUGUCACUUACUAGCUGUGAUGCCUUGAGAUUGCCCCUUACUCUUUCUUCCUCAUUUUAUGGGUCUACUCCACACAUUUACCAAACACCUAUUAUGUUCCAGGCACUAUUCUCCAUGCUGGGAAUAUGUAUUGCUAUAGGUCAGGACUCUUGAGAAGGAGGCUCUGAGAUGGAGAUUAGUGUGCAAGAGACUGAUUAGGGACUGUUCUUGGCAUCGACACUUGUGGAAGGGAGGACAUCAAUGGAGGCCUGAACUCUGAGCAUAGAGACAACACACGGUUUUGGGAGGCCAGUUUCUGACAUGGGACAUGCCAUAAACCCCGAGAAAACUACUUCUGAAUAACUGAUAAGGUCUAAUUUAGACACAUCAUUCUACCUUUUUAGGCCAUGACUCUGAAAAUGAUUAUUUUCCCAGAAUAUUUUUCUUCUCAUAUUAGAAUGAAAAAUCUGUUUCCAUUAGGCUAGCUUGCUGUCCUG
RNAcentral lists this long non-coding RNA (1055 nucleotides) under Homo sapiens (human). Its description in RNAcentral is "HSALNT0041311". The record is from RNAcentral. Lineage: Eukaryota; Metazoa; Chordata; Mammalia; Primates; Hominidae.